GUGCCAGCAGCCGCGGUAAGACGAACCGUGCAAACGUUGUUCGGAAUCACUGGGCUUAAAGGGCGCGUAGGCGGGCCGCCAAGUCUGUGGUGAAAGCCUCCAGCUCAACUGGAGAAGUGCCGUGGAUACUGGCGGCCUCGAGGAGGGUAGGGGCAUCUGGAACAGUAGGUGGAGCGGUGAAAUGCGUUGAUAUCUACUGGAACUCCGGUGGCGAAGGCGAGGUGCUGGACCCUUUCUGACGCUGAGGCGCGAAAGCCAGGGGAGCAAACGGGAUUAGAAACCCCUGUAGUCC
This 292-nucleotide ribosomal RNA is filed under the name uncultured bacterium. Its description in RNAcentral is "partial 16S ribosomal RNA". It matches the Rfam family "Bacterial small subunit ribosomal RNA", at positions 505 to 796 of the family's 1533-position model. The record is from RNAcentral.